This 465-nucleotide ribosomal RNA is filed under the name Vanikoro sp. B-New Caledonia-RC-2003. RNAcentral's name for it is "partial 16S ribosomal RNA". It matches the Rfam family "Bacterial large subunit ribosomal RNA", at positions 1827 to 2597 of the family's 2925-position model. The record is from RNAcentral. Lineage: Eukaryota; Metazoa; Mollusca; Gastropoda; Littorinimorpha; Vanikoridae.
GACUCUUUGUAGGUAUAAAUAAGGAGCCAGACCUGCUCAAUGAAAAAUUAAAUAGCCGCGGUAUCCUGACCGUGCAAAGGUAGCAUAAUCAUUUGUUCAUUAAUUGUGAACUGGCAUGAAUGGUUCGAGAAGUAAAUACUGUCUCAAUUGUAUUUUAUUGAAAUUAACGUUAAGGUGCAGAGGCCUUAAUUUUGGAAAAAGACAAGAAGACCCUAAAAGUUUAUAGAAAGGUAGUGAAAGAAUGUUUAGUUGGGGCAACUAAGUAACAGUUAAAAGCUUACUUUAAAAUAAUUAUAUUAACGAUCCAUCAAAGGAUGACUUCAGAAAAACUACUUUAGGGAUAACAGCAUAAUAUUUUUUUAGAGUUCUUAUCGAAGAAAAUGUUUGUGACCUCGAUGUUGGACUAGGGAUAACCUAUUGGUGUAGCAGCUAAUGUAGGUUGAUCUGUUCGAUCAUAAAACCCCU